RNAcentral lists this ribosomal RNA (467 nucleotides) under uncultured bacterium. RNAcentral describes it as "partial 16S ribosomal RNA". It matches the Rfam family "Bacterial small subunit ribosomal RNA", at positions 28 to 506 of the family's 1533-position model. The record is from RNAcentral.
GAUGAACGCUGGCGGCGUGCUUAACACAUGCAAGUCGAACGGAAAGGCCCAAGCUUGCUUGGGUACUCGAGUGGCGAACGGGUGAGUAACACGUGGGUGAACUGCCCUUCACUUCGGGAUAAGCCUUGGAAACUGGGUCUAAUACCGGAUAGGACGAUGGUUUGGAUGCCAUUGUGGAAAGUUUUUUCGGUGUGGGAUGAGCUCGCGGCCUAUCAGCUUGUUGGUGGGGGAAUGGCCUACCAAGGCGUCGACGGGUAGCCGGCCUGAGAGGGUGUACGGCCGCAUUGGGACUGAGAGACGGCACAGGCUCCUACGGGAGGCAGCAGUGGGGAAUAUUGCACAAUGGGCGCCAGCCUGAUGCAGCGAGGCCGCGUGGGGGAUGACGGCCUUCGGGUUGAAAACCCCUUUCGCUAGGGACGAAGCGUUUUUGUGACGGUACCUGGAGAAGAGGCACCGGCUACCUCCGU